RNAcentral lists this ribosomal RNA (208 nucleotides) under uncultured bacterium. Its description in RNAcentral is "partial 16S ribosomal RNA". It matches the Rfam family "Bacterial small subunit ribosomal RNA", at positions 568 to 775 of the family's 1533-position model. The record is from RNAcentral.
AGCGCAGGCGGGCCGGUUAGUCUAAAGUGGAAUCCCAGGGCCCAACCCUGGACGUGCUUUGGAUACUGCCGGUCUUGAGUUCGUGAGAGGAAAGUGGAAUUCAGGGUGUAGCGGUGAAAUGCUUAGAUAUCCUGAGGAACACCAGUGGCGAAAGCGACUUUCUGGCACGAAACUGACGCUGAGGCUCGAAAGCAUGGGUAGCGAACGG